RNAcentral lists this unclassified non-coding RNA (205 nucleotides) under uncultured Mortierellomycotina. RNAcentral's name for it is "sequence contains ITS1". The record is from RNAcentral. Lineage: Eukaryota; Fungi; Mortierellomycota.
CAAUAAGAGUGUUCUAUGGCACUCUUCUAAAAAAAAAUCCAUACCCCACCUUGUGUGCAAUGUAAAAAGGAAAGUGCGAGUUGUUGAAUUGAAGGACUUUUUUGUUCUUCGAGAUCCGCGAUUUGCCUCUUUCUUUUUCCAAUUCAUAUACACCUAUCUAUAUCCUAUUGUCUGAUAAUGUUACAGAAUGACUAAUUCUUAAACA